Molecule: long non-coding RNA, 446 nt
Organism: Cervus elaphus (red deer)
Lineage: Eukaryota; Metazoa; Chordata; Mammalia; Artiodactyla; Cervidae
Exons: 3
Source: RefSeq, a predicted model, not a curated record
GCACAGUAUGUGGGAUGGCCAGGGAUCGAAUCUGUACUGGAAGCGCAGAGUCUUAAUCACUGGACCACCAAGUCCCAACAUCUGGUCUUCAGACAGGCAAUUUUCACGAGGCAAAUCCAGAUUCCUGGCUGCUUCUGAAAAUUCAGAAGAUCUGGCAACCCUGGGCGCUCCUUUUGUGUGUUAAGAAUCUGCUGAAGCUAUGUAUCUGAGCCGCUGCCCGCUUCAGAGGGAGCUGCAGUCUUCACCCAGCUGGUUUCCUCACUUCCAUUAGCUGCUGGAUUCCAGUGGCUGUUUGUGUUUUCAUAACUUGUUCGUUUUAAAAUCAGAAGACAGAUUCUGAUUCCUGGCUUCAUUACCAGCCAUGAGAUCACAGGCAAAUUAUUCAUCGUCCCCAAGGCUCACAUCACCAGACAUAAGCAAUGGGGUUACUGCUGCUGAUGCGACAG